CCGAGUGAGGGUCUCCGGGCCCGACCUCCAACCCCAUGUAAUCCGACUCUGUUGCCUCGGGGGCGACCCUGCCUUCGGGCGUGGGGCCCCCGGUGGACCACUCAACUCUGCAUCUAUGCGUCUGAGUAACGAUGAAAAUCAAUCA
This 145-nucleotide unclassified non-coding RNA is filed under the name uncultured fungus. RNAcentral describes it as "sequence contains ITS1". Lineage: Eukaryota; Fungi. The record is from RNAcentral.